RNAcentral lists this ribosomal RNA (691 nucleotides) under uncultured bacterium. RNAcentral describes it as "bacterial SSU rRNA". It matches the Rfam family "Bacterial small subunit ribosomal RNA", at positions 128 to 815 of the family's 1533-position model. The record is from RNAcentral.
GGCCAUCACUUGGGGAUAACCUUGCGAAAGUAAGACUAAUACCCAAUGACGUCUCUAGAAGACUUCUGAAAGAGAUUAAAGAUUUAUCGGUGAUGGAUGGGGAUGCGUCUGAUUAGCUUGUUGGCGGGGUAACGGCCCACCAAGGCGACAAUCAGUAGGGGUUCUGAGAGGAAGGUCCCCCACAUUGGAACUGAGACACGGUCCAAACUCCUUACGGGAGGCAGCAGUGAGGAAUAUUGGUCAAUGGACGAGAGUCUGGACCAGCCAAGUAGCGUGCAGGAUGACGGCCCUAUGGGUUGUAAACUGCUUUUAUAAAGGGAAUAAAGUGAGCCUCGUGAGGCUUUUUGCAUGUACCUUAUGAAUAAGGACCGGCUAAUUCCGUGCCAGCAGCCGCGGUAAUACGGAAGGUCCGGGCGUUAUCCGGAUUUAUUGGGUUUAAAGGGAGCGUAGGCCGGAGAUUAAGCGUGUUGUGAAAUGUAGAUGCUCAACAUCUGCACUGCAGCGCGAACUGGUUUCCUUGAGUACGCACAAAGUGGGCGGAAUUCGUGGUGUAGCGGUGAAAUGCUUAGAUAUCUCGAAGAACUCCGAUUGCGAAGGCAGCUCACUGGAGCGCAACUGACGCUGAAGCUCGAAAGUGCGGGUAUCGAACAGGAUUAGAUACCCUGGUAGUCCGCACGGUAAACGAUGGAUG